CAUUUAAACAGCUUUUAACUUUUAUUUACACUAAAAUAUUAGGAACAUAAUGAUAUAUUUUGAUUAGUAAGCUAAAUAAAUGAAUCCCAAAAACUAGUUCGUUUCUAUGACCCAUUUCACUGAAAUACUUGUAACUUUAUUAAAUUUAGGUUGAAGAAAUGUCUCAAUGUGAAUUUGUGUAAACCAUUUUACUGUUCAUUUAUUGAACGUCAACCUGUAUCACCUGGUAAAAGAAGGCGCAUGUUAAAAUAAUGCUGUGCAAAAAGCCUGUUUAAAAUUUAUAAUUUGUACAAAAUCAUAACGUGUAAGCAACAUAUACCAAGAGGCCAAAAUCUUAUUAUCAAUACUACGGUGGAUUCAUUUAUUUUCGUGGGUACCAAUUUUCGUGGAGGAAGGAAAACUCAAUGCUUAUGUUCUCGGGACCUUUAAUUUUGUGGUUUUGACAAAGUCUUCAUACAAGCCUGUAGAAAAUUUGUCAUUCGUUGGACAUUUAAUUUUGUGGUACACCUAUAACCACGAAAAUUGGUAUCCCAACGAAUAAUUGUGAAUCCACAGUAUUAAUUUUUUUAACAUAUUUCUUUUUUUUGAACUUUACAACUUGAUUAUUUCUAUGUUAGUAUUUACUAUAUAUAAUUAAAUGAGACAUGUGUCAUAAAUCUACAGCACUUUGUCAAAACAUUAUCUAAAUUUAGAGAUUAAGAAUAUUCUAGAGCACACGAUUAAACAAUACCCUUUCACCAGUGCCAAAUAUAAAGGAUUACCCGUGCAGUUCGAUUUUUUCUCUCCUUGUUACAGAAAUUUAGUAAAAAUGUUAAAAUGAUAUACUAUUAGGUCUUUUUUACUAUUGUAAAUUCCAAAGAAACAAACAGAAAAAUAUCAAAAAUUACAUUGGAGAUCAUUUAAGCAGUAAGAGCUAAAUGCAUCAAAAAUUCAAACUGUUUAUUUUAUUUUUCAUCAUAAUUUGUCAGUGUAAAUUAGCAUACUGAAUAAUUUUAUUAAAUUUAAUGUACAGUGAGACCUGGCUAAACCGAAUCCUGCAUAAAUCGGAAACCUGUAUAAACCAAACAUGUUCUUAAGCACCGUCAUAUCAAAUUAUGUGCAUUGAGAACCUGAUAAAACUGAACAUAGGCCAAAACGGAACAAAGUCUUAAGUCCCGAAAAGGUUCGGUUUAAACAGGUUACACUGUAUCAGUAUUUGACCAGCACCUGUUAACACAUUUUCCCAUCUAAAACAACUAGCCUUUCCCUCAACUAAAAAACUAUGAAUACCCCUAUUUCAGCAACUAUACAAUUACUUUUUAUUUUAAAAUUAAGUUGGCUAGUAAUGGUAAGUUUUUGGUUGAAAUUUGUUCUGUAUAUGGUCAGUACUGAGUAGUCCUUUUCAAUGCAAAAAAGGACAUUGGGUAAAGAAGACUAGAAUCAUCAUAAAAAAUCAGACAAUUAAUUUCAGUAGACCAGUGGCAUCCAAGUUUAAAGGCUGUUAAAAAUGGACAAACAGUAAAAUGUUUUUAAUAAUACUUCAGCUGUGUAGCUCCAGAAAUAAUUGAAAGUUCCUGAGAUUGCUCAGAUUGCCAAUUGGCUGUUUCAGAAUCUAAAGUACUAUGGGUAAUUUCAUUGUUCGUACCCAAAAUGAAAAUAACGUCACAUCAUUGGUUGAAUUUUCAUUGUUUUGGACGUUUUCAACCAAUCACAACGUUUUGGUGUACACUUCUGAAAAUAUUACCCACAAUUCAUUAGAUUUUGAAACAGCCAAUUAUGAUAACGAAGCACCACAUUACAAUUCUUGCAUCCAAAAUGGUUUCUGGUUAAUAAUAAGUAAUUACUUACAAGAUGAUUCAGUUUUACCAAAGAAUAAUAAAAAAAAUACCCUUUUAGCAAAUAUAUUUUUUAAUACGAUACAAAAAAUCUAUUCUAUAAACUAAAAUAUCUUGGUUUUUAGAACAAAAAAAAAAUAUUUUCUAGUAGGAUAUCAUCAGCUUAUUUUAUUUGAAUAAAAACUUAAAGCAAGAAUAUAUUGAGAUUUCUUUAAUAUAUACUGGAUGGACUGACAAAAAGAUAAAGACUAUGAGUGAUGAUGACAAAAUGACAAAAAUCUAUCUACAAUAUAAUGCUUUUAUUAACCAUUUGCAAGUGCUAUUAACCAAUAGGAAAACCUACUACAUGUAAAAACAGUACAAUAGAUAUUCAAAUUUUCUGCUUUGUCUAUUACAGAGAUGUUUUUUUAUUAUUUGCUGUUGAAUUUUUUUUCUUCAAAACUGGAAAAUUCUUAAACAAUAAAUUAUUAUUAACUGGAUUUUGAAGUUAAUUUUGUUAUAUAAUCAUCCAAAUGAAAUUGCCUCAUUAAUUUUUUUUUUGUAAAUAAUUUAUUUGUGGUUUGUCAUCUAAAUGGGGAUCAGCAAAGAUUCAUGAAAAAUUAUUUUUAGCAUCUGAAUGUCUCAGUACCUAUCACCCAAUAAAUUAUACACAUGACCAUUCACCUCAACUAAUUAACAUAUUUAUAUUCUACUGCAAACAAUCUAUCAUUAUGAUCUUGAUGCGUAAACAUGUAAACUAUUUGAAAAUGACACGAUAAAGACCAAAAUAGAAGAAGCUCUUGUAUUCCAUACUGAAUAGACAAUUUUAUGCAAUGAUGGAAGUUCUAAAGAAGAUAGUGUUAGCCAUCUAACCUACCACCUGAUUUCACCAGAUUCCCCCGUUUUACUUUUUUCUUCUUAAGGUGGUACCUAACACUACAGGGAGAUAACUCUGUAAAAUCAGCUAAACGUUUUAAUCACGUUGUGUUGUUAAGAGAAUAUAAAGCUUCUCA
This 2806-nucleotide long non-coding RNA is filed under the name Mytilus galloprovincialis (Mediterranean mussel). Lineage: Eukaryota; Metazoa; Mollusca; Bivalvia; Mytilida; Mytilidae. The record is from RNAcentral.